UAUGAGCUUCCUCUGUUGUGGUUCCCUCUUUCCCCCAGUGUGGACUGCAGUCCCUGCCCAUGGAGGUGCGCUGCAGACAGAAGCAGCAGCAGAGGCCUGGCUUCCUGAGGAAUUACUGCCAGUUUGAGGAAGAAGGAAAGUCCCACCUACCAUGACCACCCCCCAGCCUGGAGGAAGCUCCAUGCCAGCAGCAUGGACCAGCAUGGGAGCCAGAGUCCUGCUAAUGCUGCAGCUCAUCACCCUCACUCAGAAGCCCAGCAGCCAUUGCCACAUCCUAUUUCCAGGGCCUGCUGCCCCCGUGCCCCCACGUGCCCAUCGACCCACACACCUCUCCUCCUGUUUGCCCAAAGUAGGCAUGGAGGGAAUUUUUCAAGUCCACUUUUAGUAGGACAUGCUGAAGCACACACCUGUGGACCACCCAGACUGCCUGCUGCUACAGGAUGCCCUCCGCAUCCCCCAGGACUUCUGUCUGGCAUCAGUGAGGACAUUGAUCCCGCUGGACUGUAGUCACAAUGGACUCCCAAGGGGCAGGUGUCACUUGGGGAGCAGAAUCCAGAGAAUAGCCCCUGGACUGAAGUGUGGACAGCUGUGAGGACUCCUGCUAAAGACACAGACAUGAUACCAGUCUGCUGGCACACAGUGUUUCGUGUCUUGUAUCCUUCUACAUGAUACCAAUGGCCCUAUUGGCUUCAUAGGGACUAUUUUAGUCAUGUCAAGAUCGUGCCACACACUCCAGCCUGGGUGAUAGAGCAAGACUCCCUCUCAAAAAAAAAAAAAAAA
Molecule: non-coding RNA, 780 nt
Organism: Macaca mulatta (Rhesus monkey)
Lineage: Eukaryota; Metazoa; Chordata; Mammalia; Primates; Cercopithecidae
Source: RefSeq, a predicted model, not a curated record